UGGGAAAAGCAGUGAAGACCAUACGCUGCUGCUCUGUCGGCGACCAAGGACGACAAAAAGAAGGCCAAGAUGGAUUCGGCGCCUCACGGCGACAAGGUCAGGACCCCUGCGGCCGCCUCCCCCACUGGCCGCCAGCAUGCAUCUCAUCUCGUGCGGCGGCUUCCGUUGCCACGCUGAGGAGCGACGUGGGGGGGGGGGCGCUGCCGCUGAAGGUGUUUUCCGUCGGUUGGUCUGCAAGCGGGUUGGAUAAGAGAUGGGGAAGGAGGGGAAGCAGCGCGUGGAGGAUAUGAGGCGGCAGAGGGGGAAGGAGGACGACACCUAGCUGAUGGGAUGAUGGAUCCGGCUACCACUACUUGGUGGCCGAUGCAUGUUCUCGGGCUCUAAGCUCGACCCCACCAUCGCCACCUGCAUUUCCGGCAGUGCUCUAUGUGAUUGAAAAGUAUACUGGCUUAGGAUCAAUUUAGAUGGUUAAUCUUUUGGCAGUAGAGAAACUAAGAUACAUAUAUUCUUGGACAGACUUUUCGGAGGCCCUCAGCUGCCAGCGACGAGGCGGGAUGCCGCCUGUUUGCGUCUCGUCGAGGGGUUGGACGCAGGCGUGGGAUCAACGGGGGGUAGUGUUGUGGACGGAGCGGUGCCUGCCUGACCGAGCUAGACGGCACAAGGCGUCGGCGAUUUUGGACCUCCCUGCUGCCCUACAUCGUCCCUUCAAAUCCCAGACAGUGGUGUGUGCUGAGUUUUGAUUACCAUGAGAUGCGAGACUGGUGAAAGAAGAUGUUGUCCCGACGGAUGGUGCCUACUUACAGGAAGGAGCCAUGGAGAUCGACAUGUGGCCCAAAGUACCAGGAAAUUGUGAACAUCCGAAUGAGUGAUGGUACUAAUCGGCGCGUGGUCUGGUUCUAGAAGUUGAUGCUGAAAGAGGUGUUGUGCAGGUCUUUGAAGCCAGGCACUUCAUGAAUAGACAACAAAAGUUCAUCGGCGAGAUUUUGUGAACUCCUGUCUCGCUUGAUAUGCUUGGAUGUCUUUUUAAUGGUUCUGGAAAACCUGUUCAUAAUUUUGCAUGAGGCCUACUUGGACAUCUCGGGCAAGUGCUUUCUCCGUUCAGGCACACUGUUCUGAAGUUCGAGUAAUCCAAGUGAGAGAACCUACCCUGAGAUGAUUGAAACAAGGAUAUCUGCGAUUAAUGUCGUGAACUCCAUUGAUCGAGGGCAAAAUAUUCCUCUCUAUUCUGCUGUUGGGCUUCCUAAUUGUUGCUCAGAUUAGUUGUCUUGCUGGUCUUCCCAAGAGUUUGGAGAAAGGCAAGCACGCAGAGCUCACCAAGUUUGAUGAGAGGCAAAAGUGAAGAUGUUCACAAGGGGCGCGAGAGAGUGUGGCGAAAAGACAAACAAGGGUGCCAUUUCAUCCCAGUGACGCUGAUGUCAAGACCGGGAGAUGGCACCGCAGAGAGAACAAGAAAUAGCGUUGCUCCAGAGAUAUAGUUGGAGACCAAACUAUUGCAGGCGGCACAUAAACCGUGGUCGCCAGUGUUCAAGAAACCAUGUCCAAGGUCGAAAGAUGACACCCACCAUUGCAGAAUAGAGCCAUGGUUUGUUCCUGGUGGUGUAUUGUCAUAGAUUUAGUUGGUGGGAAUAAACUAACAGCAGGAGCAGCAUACAUGUAAUAGAAAGUGGUGGUCUAACUCAUCUCACUAGAAUAGCCAUUUACUUCAAAAUUGUAAAUCAAUCUUGUAUGCUGCAACUUUAGGUUCUGCAACUUUGAAGUUCAAAAAUUGAGGUGACGCUGUGCUGUAUCAUAAGACAUAGGUUUAUCUUUGAAUUUUAACAUCUGCCUGCUGAUUUAAUUUUGUGGAAUUGAAAUAUAAAUUUGGGGUUUCA
Non-coding RNA from Lolium perenne, 1871 nucleotides. The record is from RefSeq and is a predicted model, not a curated record. NCBI's taxonomy places the organism in Eukaryota, Viridiplantae, Streptophyta, Magnoliopsida, Poales, Poaceae.